Molecule: small nuclear RNA, 107 nt
Filed under: Echinops telfairi (small Madagascar hedgehog)
Lineage: Eukaryota; Metazoa; Chordata; Mammalia; Afrosoricida; Tenrecidae
Source: RNAcentral
GUGGCUGCGUGCUCACACAUGUACUGAAAUUGGAUCCAUGCAGAGAAAAUUCCAGUAGACCCCUGUGCAUGGAUGAUGUGCAAAUUUGUGAAACGUUCUAAUAAAAA